CCCCAUUGGUUUCAAAGCGAUGCAACGCGCUUGCGCAUUACACACCCGCACACCGGAGCAGAAUGUAGAAGCGUUAAUACAGUAAAUGGUGGAAGAGAAAAUGUCCAUGGCGGCAGACGAGGAGCUUUCCCAACCAAGCACCAGUGAGGAGGGUGCAGGCAAGGAAGACCAACCAACCCUUGUUCAUCCCUGGCCUUAUCUGGAGGAUUUUUUUGAUAUAACAGGAUGCAAAAACAACUCUUUUCGCAUGCAAUGCAAACUGUGCGCACCGAAGUACCACGAGCUAAUGGCUUUCAAAAACUCACCAUCAAAUUUAAAGAAGCAUAUUGAGUCCCCCGAGGCCAGACAAGAUACAUAAUCCAUCCAGCGGGUUUUGGGUCUACCCCGGAGUCUCCUCCCAGGCGGACAUGCUCGGAAAACCUCCGAAGGAAGUCUCCCCGGAGGCAUCCCAAUCAAAUGUCCAAACCACCUCAACUGGGUCCUCUCUCCGUGAAGGAGUAGUGACUCUACUCUGAGCUCCCUCCAGAUCUCUGAGCUUCUCACCCUAUCUCUAAGGCUGAGUCCUGUCACCCUGAAGGAAGCUCAUUUGGGAUGCUUGUACUUGCAAUCUCAUUCUUUCGUUCACUAACCGGAGUUCAUAACCAUAGGUGGGGGUUAGAACAUAGAUGGUAAAUUGAGAGCUUUGCCUCAGCUCCCUUUUCGCCAUGAAACAAUGGUUUGAUGCAAUGAAAAAUAAAUGAAAUUCACACAGAAUUCAAUAUCAGAGACAAGAUCAUUCGCACUACAACUGACAAUGGAUCGAACUUCCUGAAAGCCUUCAGAGUUUAUGGGAAGACUGACAAGAACAACAAUCCUGAACCUGUAGGAGAGCGUGCUGAAGAAGAGGACGAUGGUGGCCAAAAUGAUGAUACUGAUGAAGAAGAAGAAAGCAUUGAGGGUGUUGAAUUUGUUGAUACUGGAGCCCUUUUGGACAAAGAUGACUACUUGGAAUAUCAACUACCCAAGCACCAUCGCUGCGCCUGCCACCUCCUCAAUCUGGUGUCCACAGUUGAUGCUUCAAAAGCAGAGGACAACCCAUUGUACAAGCGCAUAUCAAGGUCCACAUUUGCCAAAUGCUCUAGCCUGUGGAACAAAAGUUCAAGAACAACCAUCGCAUCUGAAGUGAUUAAAGACCACUGCACACUCCAACUGAUAAGGCCUGUUGCUACAAGGUGGAAUUCAUUCUUCUCCGCUGCGGAAAGAAUUGUGAGAAUAACAAGAGAACAAGGUGAAGGAGCACUUGCAGCUGUCUGCAGUAAGCUGGAUAUACAAAAGUUUACUCCAGUGGAACUUGCAUUUCUUGCAGAAUAUGUGAAGACAAUGAGCCCAGUGGCCAAGGCAGUGGAUGUUCUUCAGGGAGAAACCAGUGUGCAGAUGGGAUGGCUGCUCCCCACCAUAACUCUACUAAAGACCAAGCUCCAGAACCUUCAGGUCACCUCCAAGUUUUGUGAGCCUUUGAUUGCUGCACUUCUUUCUGGCAUUGAAAAACGCUUCGGAGAAAUGCUUGCAGAUCCAGAGCUGAUAGCCGCAGCCAUUCUGGUUCCCAAAUUUAAAACCUGCUGGACAAAUGAUGAAAACAUCUUGAAACUUGGCCUUGACUACAUAAAAAGCCACUUGAGCUGUCAGGAAAGGAAUCCUGUCUCUGAGGGCUCCCUGUCAUCUGUGGAAGAGGACUUCUUUUCCUCCUUAAAGAAGACUGGCCCCCUUGAAAAGACCCAGCAGCUGGAUGCAUACCUGGGGUGCCCAGGAGACAUGACAGAGGUGAUGAAGUCCUUCCCAGCUGUGUGCCACCUAUCACUGAAGCUUAAUACGGCACUCCCUGCCUCAGCAGCCUGUGAAAGACUGUUCAGUGUUGCAGGGCUGAUCUUCAGGCCAAGAAGAGCGUGCAUUGGCUCAGUAAACUUUGAGAACCAGCUACUUUUGCGGCUGAACAAAGACUAUUGGUAACUCUUUGUUGCUUGUCCUUUGCUUGACUGAUGUCAGUCUUUAUGUUAAAAGUGCCUGUUACAUCUCCUUAAAUUUGAAUCGUUGCGAUUACCUACAGAAAUGGGCAUGACCAAGAAUGUGGCACAAUAAAGGUUAAUUGAUAAUA
Molecule: long non-coding RNA, 2131 nt
Organism: Acanthochromis polyacanthus (spiny chromis)
Lineage: Eukaryota; Metazoa; Chordata; Actinopteri; Pomacentridae
Exons: 4
Source: RefSeq, a predicted model, not a curated record